UUUUGCGCCGCGCUCGUCACUCGCUGGUUGGGUGGACUAGGGGACAGCUUUUAAAAGAGUUUGUUAUGGUUUCCUGCAGCUAGACAGGAGGUAUCUAGCUGUGAUUUACCCACUUUGAUCCAGGGAAAAGUUGCUUUGAGGCUUGAUACAGCAGAUUUUCGAAGUUAAUUGAGCUUAUUUGGUGACCUUGGGGACUGGUUUAGAAGG
This is a long non-coding RNA of Ananas comosus (pineapple), 207 nucleotides long. RefSeq lists it as uncharacterized. The transcript has 3 exons. The record is from RefSeq and is a predicted model, not a curated record. NCBI's taxonomy places the organism in Eukaryota, Viridiplantae, Streptophyta, Magnoliopsida, Poales, Bromeliaceae.